This 397-nucleotide ribosomal RNA is filed under the name Companilactobacillus paralimentarius. RNAcentral's name for it is "bacterial SSU rRNA". It matches the Rfam family "Bacterial small subunit ribosomal RNA", at positions 118 to 502 of the family's 1533-position model. The record is from RNAcentral. Lineage: Bacteria; Bacillati; Bacillota; Bacilli; Lactobacillales; Lactobacillaceae.
UGGGUAACCUGCCCAGAAGUGGGGGAUAACAUUUGGAAACAAGUGCUAAUACCGCAUAACAACAUUUAUCUCAUGAUUUAUGUUUAAAAGAUGGUUCUGCUAUCUCUUCUGGAUGGACCCGCGGCGUAUUAGCUAGUUGGUGAGGUAAUAGCUCACCAAGGCGAUGAUACGUAGCCGACCUGAGAGGGUAAUCGGCCACAUUGGGACUGAGACACGGCCCAAACUCCUACGGGAGGCAGCAGUAGGGAAUCUUCCACAAUGGACGAAAGUCUGAUGGAGCAACGCCGCGUGAGUGAAGAAGGUUUUCGGAUCGUAAAACUCUGUUGUUGAAGAAGAACAUAUGUGAGAGUAACUGUUCACGUACUGACGGUAUUCAACCAGAAAGCCACGGCUAACU